GCAUUAAUGAGGUAUAACUGACAUACAAUAACCUGUGUUAUUGAAAGUGUACAGUUUGGUGAAUUUUGAGACAUACACACUGGUGAAACCAUCAACAUGAACAUACCCAUCCCCCUCUCAUUUCCUCAUGCUUCCUCAUCAUCUAUUCAAUGGUUUCAUAACUGCUGAGGACCAGAAAGGAAGUGCUAGUCUCCUGUCACUCAGUCCAGUGUUAAUUCUAAGAGGCUACCUUCAACCAUCCCCAGAAGAGGCGCGGGAACCAGUUAUUAAGCACAUACCAUGUAUGAAGCUCCAGACAAAAAACAAUGUUUGGUCGACAAUGGACUGCAUAUAUGAUGGUGGUCCCCUAAGAUUAUAGUGAAGCUGAAAAAUUCCUAUUGCCUGGUGACAUUGUUGUCAUCAUAAAGUCAUAGCACAACACAUUUCUCACCUGUUUGUGGUAAUGCUGAUGUAAACAAAGCUACUGUGUUGCCAGUUGUAUACACGUGUGCAGUAAUGUCCUAGGUCCUCACAUAUGCUCACCACUCAAUCACUGACUCACCUGGAGCGACUGCCAGUCCACAAGCUCAUUCACAGGAAGUGUCCUGUACAGGUGUGCCAGUUUCUUAAUGUUUUAUGCCAUAUUUUGACUCCGCUCAUUCCAGACAGUGUGUUUGGGGAGCUAUGCAGUAUUUCACAUUUCUGCCUAGAUGCUGGAAAAUCAAGCCUGCUUAACGUGAAGAUGAUGAGGAUGAAAACCUUUAUGAUGAUCCACUUCCAUUUGAUGAAUGCCUUAUAGCUGUAGGCAGUUCACACCACCUCUGUGAGCCUCCUUUUCCUCCUCCUCUGACGUCACAGCAUUUUGGCUGGUUGGGCAGAUCAUGAAGGGACUUUGACAACCAGGAGACCUGCUCAUAGAUGGAGUUUUGCAAAGAUUGGAAGAGGCAGCCUCUGCUAUUGCCAUUCUAAUAUCUUCUUCUAUAACAAAAAACACAAAGAUACCAAACAACAUUAUAAAAGAAGAUGUAUUCAAAGCAAAGUGAUGAUCAUCCCUUCUUCCCAUCCUAAUGGCUCAUAUCUAGGACUGUACAUGUCAUGGCUUUUGAAGCCUAAUCGACCCUCUGACAAGGUGCUCUGGUCACAGGUUCCAGCCUUGCUGCUACCUCUGACCAAGUGCAGACCAGGCUCCUCGGGGAGGACCACAUCUCUAUUGCUCAGACUGCCUGACACAGCCUUGCUUGAGGUUCUGUCUGAAAGAAAGAGGCAAAUGGUUCUUCCCUUCUCCUGAAUGCCUGGCAUUCCCUAGUUGCCUGGCUUUUCCCAUCAGCUGGCUGGCAGGGCCCUCCAGGUGUCCCGUCCUUGUUCUAUGCUUAGCUCAGGCUCAGGAUAAAGGUCACAUGUCUGUGGAACAGUCCUUCUCUCCUCUGUGUGCUCUCAGCUUU
RNAcentral lists this long non-coding RNA (1421 nucleotides) under Callithrix jacchus (white-tufted-ear marmoset). Its description in RNAcentral is "lncRNA (ENSCJAG00000073597.1)". The record is from RNAcentral. Lineage: Eukaryota; Metazoa; Chordata; Mammalia; Primates; Cebidae.